Molecule: ribosomal RNA, 1163 nt
Filed under: Escherichia coli
Lineage: Bacteria; Pseudomonadati; Pseudomonadota; Gammaproteobacteria; Enterobacterales; Enterobacteriaceae
Description: partial 23S ribosomal RNA
Rfam family: Bacterial large subunit ribosomal RNA
Source: RNAcentral
AUAAUGGGUCAGCGACUUAUAUUCUGUAGCAAGGUUAACCGAAUAGGGGAGCCGAAGGGAAACCGAGUCUUAACUGGGCGUUAAGUUGCAGGGUAUAGACCCGAAACCCGGUGAUCUAGCCAUGGGCAGGUUGAAGGUUGGGUAACACUAACUGGAGGACCGAACCGACUAAUGUUGAAAAAUUAGCGGAUGACUUGUGGCUGGGGGUGAAAGGCCAAUCAAACCGGGAGAUAGCUGGUUCUCCCCGAAAGCUAUUUAGGUAGCGCCUCGUGAAUUCAUCUCCGGGGGUAGAGCACUGUUUCGGCAAGGGGGUCAUCCCGACUUACCAACCCGAUGCAAACUGCGAAUACCGGAGAAUGUUAUCACGGGAGACACACGGCGGGUGCUAACGUCCGUCGUGAAGAGGGAAACAACCCAGACCGCCAGCUAAGGUCCCAAAGUCAUGGUUAAGUGGGAAACGAUGUGGGAAGGCCCAGACAGCCAGGAUGUUGGCUUAGAAGCAGCCAUCAUUUAAAGAAAGCGUAAUAGCUCACUGGUCGAGUCGGCCUGCGCGGAAGAUGUAACGGGGCUAAACCAUGCACCGAAGCUGCGGCAGCGACGCUGAUGCGUUGUUGGGUAGGGGAGCGUUCUGUAAGCCUGCGAAGGUGUGCUGUGAGGCAUGCUGGAGGUAUCAGAAGUGCGAAUGCUGACAUAAGUAACGAUAAAGCGGGUGAAAAGCCCGCUCGCCGGAAGACCAAGGGUUCCUGUCCAACGUUAAUCGGGGCAGGGUGAGUCGACCCCUAAGGCGAGGCCGAAAGGCGUAGUCGAUGGGAAACAGGUUAAUAUUCCUGUACUUGGUGUUACUGCGAAGGGGGGACGGAGAAGGCUAUGUUGGCCGGGCGACGGUUGUCCCGGUUUAAGCGUGUAGGCUGGUUUUCCAGGCAAAUCCGGAAAAUCAAGGCUGAGGCGUGAUGACGAGGCACUACGGUGCUGAAGCAACAAAUGCCCUGCUUCCAGGAAAAGCCUCUAAGCAUCAGGUAACAUCAAAUCGUACCCCAAACCGACACAGGUGGUCAGGUAGAGAAUACCAAGGCGCUUGAGAGAACUCGGGUGAAGGAACUAGGCAAAAUGGUGCCGUAACUUCGGGAGAAGGCACGCUGAUAUGUAGGUGAAGCGACUUGCUC